CCUACGGGAGGCUGCAGUGGGGAAUAUUGGACAAUGGGGGGAACCCUGAUCCAGCCAUGCCGCGUGUGUGAAGAAGGCCUGCGGGUUGUAAAGCCCUUUCGGUGGGGAAGAAAAGUCUCGUUCUAACACAACGGGAUCUUGACGUGACCCAUAGAAGAAGCACCGGCUAACUCUGUGCCAGCAGCCGCGGUAAUACAGAGGGUGCGAGCGUUAAUCGGAAUUACUGGGCGUAAAGCGCGCGUAGGCGGCUUUGCAAGUCGGGUGUGAAAUCCCCAGGCUCAACCUGGGAACUGCACUCGAGACUGCAUUGCUAGAGUAUGGGAGAGGGAAGUGGAAUUUCAGGUGUAGCGGUGAAAUGCGUAGAUAUCUGAAGGAACAUCAGUGGCGAAAGCGACUUCCUGGACCAAUACUGACGCUCAUGUGCGAAAGCGUGGGGAGCAAACAGGAUUAGAUACCCGAGUAGUC
RNAcentral lists this ribosomal RNA (465 nucleotides) under uncultured Steroidobacter sp. Its description in RNAcentral is "bacterial SSU rRNA". It matches the Rfam family "Bacterial small subunit ribosomal RNA", at positions 338 to 795 of the family's 1533-position model. The record is from RNAcentral. Lineage: Bacteria; Pseudomonadati; Pseudomonadota; Gammaproteobacteria; Steroidobacterales; Steroidobacteraceae.